CCUACGGGGCGCAGCAGUGAGGAAUAUUGGUCAAUGGGCGAGAGCCUGAACCAGCCAAGUCGCGUGAAGGAUGACGGCCCUACGGGUUGUAAACUUCUUUUGUCAGGGAGCAAUUGGGUCCACGCGUGGGCUUAGCGAGAGUACCUGAAGAAAAAGCAUCGGCUAACUCCGUGCCAGCAGCCGCGGUAAUACGGAGGAUGCGAGCGUUAUCCGGAUUUAUUGGGUUUAAAGGGUGCGUAGGCGGAAUAUCAAGUCAGCGGUAAAAAUUCGGGGCUCAACCCCGUCGUGCCGUUGAAACUGAUGUUCUGGAGUGGGCGAGAAGUAUGCGGAAUGCGUGGUGUAGCGGUGAAAUGCAGAGAUAUCACGCAGAACUCCGAUUGCGAAGGCAGCAUACCGGCGCUCAACUGACGCUCAUGCACGAAAGUGUGGGUAUCGAACAGGAUUAGAUACCCUGGUAGUC
RNAcentral lists this ribosomal RNA (460 nucleotides) under uncultured bacterium. RNAcentral describes it as "partial 16S ribosomal RNA". It matches the Rfam family "Bacterial small subunit ribosomal RNA", at positions 338 to 795 of the family's 1533-position model. The record is from RNAcentral.